Molecule: ribosomal RNA, 1256 nt
Filed under: Nocardiopsis sp. VITMSM07
Lineage: Bacteria; Bacillati; Actinomycetota; Actinomycetes; Streptosporangiales; Nocardiopsidaceae
Description: bacterial SSU rRNA
Rfam family: Bacterial small subunit ribosomal RNA
Source: RNAcentral
CCCAUGGCCAGGUCGUAGGCGCGUCAGGCCCUUCGGGGUACACGAGCGGCGAACGGGUGAGUAACACUUGAGUAACCUGCCCCUGACUCUGGGAUAAGCGGUGGAAACGCCGUCUAAUACCGGAUACGACCUUCCGCCUCAUGGUGGAGGGUGGAAAGUUUUUUCGGUCAGGGAUGGGCUCGCGGCCUAUCAGCUUGUUGGUGGGGUAACGGCCUACCAAGGCGAUUACGGGUAGCCGGCCUGAGAGGGCGACCGGCCACACUGGGACUGAGACACGGCCCAGACUCCUGCGGGAGGCAGCAGUGGGGAAUAUUGCGCAAUGGGCGAAAGCCUGACGCAGCGACGCCGCGUGGGGGAUGACGGCCUUCGGGUUGUAAACCUCUUUUACCACCAACGCAGGCUCCGGGUUUUCUCGGGGUUGACGGUAGGUGGGGAAUAAGGACCGGCUAACUACGUGCCUGCAGCCGCGGUAAUACGUAGGGUCCGAGCGUUGUCCGGAAUUAUUGGGCGUAAAGAGCUCGUAGGCGGCGUGUCGCGUCUGCUGUGAAAGACCGGGGCUUAACUCCGGUUCUGCAGUGGAUACGGGCAUGCUAGAGGUAGGUAGGGGAGACUGGAAUUCCUGGUGUAGCGGUGAAAUGCGCAGAUAUCAGGAGGAACACCGGUGGCGAAGGCGGGUCUCUGGGCCUUACCUGACGCUGAGGAGCGAAAGCAUGGGGAGCGAACAGGAUUAGAUACCCUGGUAGUCCAUGCCGUAAACGUUGGGCGCUAGGUGUGGGGACUUUCCACGGUUUCCGCGCCGUACCUAACGCAUUAAGCGCCCCGCCUGGGGAGUACGGCCGCAAGGCUAAAACUCAAAGGAAUUGACGGGGGCCCGCACAAGCGGCGGAGCAUGUUGCUUAAUUCGACGCAACGCGAAGAACCUUACCAAGGUUUGACAUCACCCGUGGACCUGUAGAGAUACAGGGUCAUUUAGUUGGUGGGUGACACGUGGUGCAUGGCUGUCGUCAGCUCGUGUCGUGAGAUGUUGGGUUAAGUCCCCGCAACGAGCGCAACCCUUGUUCCAUGUUGCCAGCACGUAAUGGUGGGGACUUCAUGGGAGACUGCCCAGGGUCAACUCGGAGGAAGUGGGGACGACGUCUAGUCAUCAUGCCCCUUAUGUCUGGCCUGCAACUGCUACAAUGGCCGGCACAUGGGCGUGCGUACCGUAUGGUGGAGCGAUCCCUUAAAGCCGGUCUCAAUCGAAUGGGGCUGCACUC